GGUUAAGUUAGAAAGGGCGCACGGUGGAUGCCUUGACACUAGGAGUCGAUGAAGGACGGGACUAACGCCGAUAUGCUUCGGGGAGCUGUAAGUAAGCUUUGAUCCGAAGAUUUCCGAAUGGGGAAACCCACUAUACGUAAUGGUAUGGUAUCCUUACCUGAAUACAUAGGGUAUGGAAGACAGACCCAGGGAACUGAAACAUCUAAGUACCUGGAGGAAGAGAAAGCAAAUGCGAUUUCCUGAGUAGCGGCGAGCGAAACGGAAUCUAGCCCAAACCAAGAGGCUUGCCUCUUGGGGUUGUAGGACAUUCUAUACGGAGUUACAAAGGAACGAGGUAGACGAAGCGACCUGGAAAGGUCCGUCGUAGAGGGUAACAACCCCGUAGUCGAAACUUCGUUCUCUCUUGAAU
This 409-nucleotide ribosomal RNA is filed under the name Bacillus cereus group sp. N11. RNAcentral describes it as "partial 23S ribosomal RNA". It matches the Rfam family "Bacterial large subunit ribosomal RNA", at positions 1 to 402 of the family's 2925-position model. Lineage: Bacteria; Bacillati; Bacillota; Bacilli; Caryophanales; Bacillaceae. The record is from RNAcentral.